CCUACGGGGGGCAGCAGUGGGGGAUAUUGCACAAUGGGGGAAACCCUGAUGCAGCGACGCCGCGUGGGCGAAGAAGUAUUUCGGUAUGUAAAGCCCUAUCAGCAGGGAAGAAGAAAUGACGGUACCUGAGGAAGAAGCACCGGCUAAAUCCGUGCCAGCAGCCGCGGUAAUACGUAUGGUGCAAGCGUUAUCCGGCUUUACUGGGGGUAAAGGGAGCGCAGGCGGCACGGCAAGCCUGAUGUGAAAGCCCGCGGCCCAACCGCGGGACUGCAUUGGGAACUACCGGGCUGGAGUGCCGGAGAGGUAGGCGGAAUUCCUAGUGUAGCGGUGAAAUGCGUAGAUAUUAGGAGGAACACCAGUGGCGAAGGCGGCCUACUGGACGGUGACUGACGCUGAGGCUCGAAAGCGUGGGGAGCAAACAGGAUUAGAUACCCGGGUAGUC
RNAcentral lists this ribosomal RNA (442 nucleotides) under uncultured bacterium. RNAcentral describes it as "partial 16S ribosomal RNA". It matches the Rfam family "Bacterial small subunit ribosomal RNA", at positions 338 to 795 of the family's 1533-position model. The record is from RNAcentral.